RNAcentral lists this ribosomal RNA (170 nucleotides) under Lagocephalus spadiceus (half-smooth golden pufferfish). Its description in RNAcentral is "partial 12S rRNA". Lineage: Eukaryota; Metazoa; Chordata; Actinopteri; Tetraodontiformes; Tetraodontidae. The record is from RNAcentral.
CACCGCGGUUAUACGAGAGGCCCAAGUUGUUAACCCUCGGCGUAAAGAGUGGUUAGAGUACCCCUACAGACUAAGGCCGAACACCUUCAGGGCAGUUAUACGCUUUCGAAGGCAUGAAGCACAUCCACGAAAGUAGCCUUACCCCACUUGAAUCCACGAAAGCUAAGAUA